UCCAGACUCCUACGGGAGGCAGCAGUGGGGAAUAUUGCACAAUGGGGGAAACCCUGAUGCAGCAACGCCGCGUGGGUGAAGGAGCGUUUCGGCGCGUAAAGCCCUGUCAGCGGGGAAGAAGAAAGACGGUACCCGACCAAGAAGCCCCGGCUAACUACGUGCCAGCAGCCGCGGUAAUACGUAGGGGGCGAGCGUUGUCCGGAAUUACUGGGUGUAAAGGGAGCGUAGGCGGGACGGCAAGUCAGAUGUGAAAACUGAGGGCUCAACCUUCAGACUGCAUUUGAAACUGCUGUUCUUGAGUGAAGUAGAGGUAAGCGGAAUUCCUAGUGUAGCGGUGAAAUGCGUAGAUAUUAGGAGGAACAUCGGUGGCGAAGGCGGCUUACUGGGCUUUUACUGACGCUGAGGCUCGAAAGCGUGGGGAGCAAACAGGAUUAGAUACCCGCGUA
RNAcentral lists this ribosomal RNA (446 nucleotides) under uncultured bacterium. Its description in RNAcentral is "bacterial SSU rRNA". It matches the Rfam family "Bacterial small subunit ribosomal RNA", at positions 330 to 792 of the family's 1533-position model. The record is from RNAcentral.